Molecule: small RNA, 66 nt
Filed under: Acididesulfobacillus acetoxydans
Lineage: Bacteria; Bacillati; Bacillota; Clostridia; Eubacteriales; Peptococcaceae
Description: Peptococcaceae bacterium INE non-coding RNA
Source: RNAcentral
GUUUCAAUUCCUCAUAGGCAGGCUAUCGGCCGCCGGGACGAAGGCGGGAUGCGAUCUGUCCCACGG